This 495-nucleotide ribosomal RNA is filed under the name uncultured bacterium. RNAcentral describes it as "partial 16S ribosomal RNA". It matches the Rfam family "Bacterial small subunit ribosomal RNA", at positions 30 to 507 of the family's 1533-position model. The record is from RNAcentral.
UGAACGCUGGCGGCGUGCCUAAUACAUGCAAGUCGAGCGAACGGACGAGAAGCUUGCUUUUCUGAUGUUAGCGGCGGACGGGUGAGUAACACGUGGAUAACCUACCUAUAAGACUGGGAUAACUUCGGGAAACCGGAGCUAAUACCGGAUCAUAUUUUGAACCGCAUGGUUCAAAAGUGAAAGACGGUCUUGCUGUCACUUAUAGAUGGAUCCGCGCUGCAUUAGCUAGUUGGUAAGGUAACGGCUUACCAAGGCAACGAUGCAUAGCCGACCUGAGAGGGUGAUCGGCCACACUGGAACUGAGACACGGUCCAGACUCCUACGGGAGGCAGCAGUAGGGAAUCUUCCGCAAUGGGCGAAAGCCUGACGGAGCAACGCCGCGUGAGUGAUGAAGGUCUUCGGAUCGUAAAACUCUGUUAUUAGGGAAGAACAUAUGUGUAAGUAACUGUGCACAUCUUGACGGUACCUAAUCAGAAAGCCACGGCUAACUACGUG